Molecule: antisense RNA, 69 nt
Filed under: Micromonospora echinofusca
Lineage: Bacteria; Bacillati; Actinomycetota; Actinomycetes; Micromonosporales; Micromonosporaceae
Description: ASpks TB sRNA
Rfam family: ASpks TB sRNA
Source: Rfam by way of RNAcentral
CUUCACCGACCCGAGCAGCAACGGCACGUCGCGGUCCUGCCCGUACGUCGCCAACAGGGCCUGCGCCUC